UCCAAUCUCUGUUAUUCGGAGUGUGUGUUUCUUUUUGAGACUUAAUUUCCUUAUCCUUGAAAUGAGGUAAUAUACUUCCUUCAUAGGGUUGCUGGGAAGAUUAAACACAAGGUGAAAUAAAUAAAGCCCCAGGGACAUAAACAAAAAAUGAUGGCUUCUCACAGCAAUGCUCCAGAACAAACAACAAGGGAAUACUGGGCCCAGUCCCAGGACUGUCCACCUGUGAAUCCAACACCUUUUCACAUCAACUCCCAGGAUUAUAGGAUCUGGCUCCCAUGAAGGCCUUCCACCUCCGCUGGCCUAAGCUGUCAGUGUCAGAGAGCGCUGGCCCUAACAGCUCCCUUACCAGAGCAGCUGUGAUUCCUUCUUCAUUUCCAGCAGGGACGACCCAAUAACUUUUACAGUAUGGGAUUUCUUUUUUCUUAUGAUAACAAUGUUCAUUGUGGAAAAAAAAAUGAUAAAAUAAAAAUCAGCUAGAAUUCCAACUUCUGGCAAUUUGGGUGUCUAUCUUUCUGCAAAGUUCCUAUACGCAUACUUUAUAAAAUUACGAACAUAC
This 556-nucleotide long non-coding RNA is filed under the name Macaca fascicularis (crab-eating macaque). RNAcentral describes it as "lncRNA (ENSMFAG00000050801.1)". Lineage: Eukaryota; Metazoa; Chordata; Mammalia; Primates; Cercopithecidae. The record is from RNAcentral.